GCACUAGCUUCAGCAGCACCUAUGCAAAAAUUGGAAUGAUACAGAGAAAAUUAGCAUGGCCCCUGCACAAGGA
This 73-nucleotide small nuclear RNA is filed under the name Ovis aries (sheep). The record is from RNAcentral. Lineage: Eukaryota; Metazoa; Chordata; Mammalia; Artiodactyla; Bovidae.